AGAGUUUGAUCCUGGCUCAGGACGAACGCUGGCGGCGUGCUUAACACAUGCAAGUCGAGCGAGGCCCGUCCUUCGGGACGGUGCCCUAGCGGCGAACGGGUGAGUAACACGUGGGCAACCUGCCCCUAGCACUGGGAUAACUCCGGGAAACCGGGGCUAAUACCGGAUACGACCUCGGAAGGCAUCUUCUGAGGUGGAAAGGUUUUCUGGCUAGGGAUGGGCCCGCGGCCUAUCAGCUUGUUGGUGGGGUAACGGCCUACCAAGGCAGCGACGGGUAGCCGGCCUGAGAGGGCGACCGGCCACACUGGGACUGAGACACGGCCCAGACUCCUACGGGAGGCAGCAGUGGGGAAUAUUGCACAAUGGGCGAAAGCCUGAUGCAGCGACGCCGCGUGAGGGAUGACGGCCUUCGGGUUGUAAACCUCUUUCAGCUCCGACGAAGCGAAAGUGACGGUAGGAGCAGAAGAAGCACCGGCCAACUACGUGCCAGCAGCCGCGGUAAUACGUAGGGUGCAAGCGUUGUCCGGAAUUAUUGGGCGUAAAGAGCUCGUAGGCGGCCUGUCGCGUCGGCUGUGAAAACCUGGGGCUCAACCCCGGGCCUGCAGCCGAUACGGGCAGGCUAGAAUUCGGUAGGGGAGACUGGAAUUCCUGGUGUAGCGGUGAAAUGCGCAGAUAUCAGGAGGAACACCGGUGGCGAAGGCGGGUCUCUGGGCCGAUAUUGACGCUGAGGAGCGAAAGCGUGGGGAGCGAACAGGAUUAGAUACCCUGGUAGUCCACGCCGUAAACGUUGGGCGCUAGGUGUGGGCUCCAUUCCACGGAGUCUGUGCCGCAGCUAACGCAUUAAGCGCCCCGCCUGGGGAGUACGGCCGCAAGGCUAAAACUCAAAGGAAUUGACGG
RNAcentral lists this ribosomal RNA (897 nucleotides) under uncultured bacterium. RNAcentral's name for it is "bacterial SSU rRNA". It matches the Rfam family "Bacterial small subunit ribosomal RNA", at positions 8 to 916 of the family's 1533-position model. The record is from RNAcentral.